UGGAGAGUUUGAUCCUGGCUCAGAACGAACGCUGGCGGCGUGCCUAACACAUGCAAGUCGAACGGUAACAGGACUUUGGUCGCUGACGAGUGGCGCACGGGUGAGUAACGCGUGGGUUACCUGCCCAUAAGUGGGGAACAACUUGGAGAAAUCCAAGCUAAUACCGCAUAAUACCUUCGGGUUAAAGAGGGGGAUCUUCGGACCUCUCGCUUAUGGAUGGUCCCGCGUCUGAUUAGCUAGUUGGUAGGGUAAUGGCCUACCAAGGCAAUGAUCAGUAGCUGGUCUGAGAGGAUGAUCAGUCACACUGGAACUGAGACACGGUCCAGACUCCUACGGGAGGCAGCAGUGGGGAAUUUUGCACAAUGGGCGAAAGCCUGAUGCAGCGACGCCGCGUGCGGGAAGAAGGCCUUCGGGUUGUAAACCGCUUUCAACAGGGAAGAAGGAAUGAGAGCUAAUACCUCUCUGCCUUGACGGUACCUGUAGAAGAAGCACCGGCUAAUUUCGUGCCAGCAGCCGCGGUAAUACGAAAGGUGCAAGCGUUGUUCGGAUUUACUGGGCGUAAAGAGAUCGUAGGUGGCUUGUUAAGUCGGAUGUGAAAUCCCGGGGCUCAACCCCGGAACUGCAUCCGAUACUGGCAGGCUUGAGUUUGGGAGGGGUAAGCGGAAUUCCGUGUGUAGCAGUGAAAUGCGUAGAUAUACGGAGGAACACCUGAGGCGAAGGCGGCUUACUGGACCAAUACUGACACUGAGGAUCGAAAGCGUGGGUAGCAAACAGGAUUAGAUACCCUGGUAGUCCACGCCCUAAACGAUGUCAACUAGCCGUUGCGGGUAUCGACCCCUGCAGUGGCGCAGCUAACGCGAUAAGUUGACCGCCUGGGGAGUACGGUCGCAAGAUUAAAACUCAAAGGAAUUGACGGGGGCCCGCACAAGCGGUGGAGCAUGU
RNAcentral lists this ribosomal RNA (942 nucleotides) under Zetaproteobacteria bacterium CG06_land_8_20_14_3_00_59_53. RNAcentral's name for it is "bacterial SSU rRNA". It matches the Rfam family "Bacterial small subunit ribosomal RNA", at positions 1 to 942 of the family's 1533-position model. The record is from RNAcentral. Lineage: Bacteria; Pseudomonadati; Pseudomonadota; Candidatius Mariprofundia.